Molecule: ribosomal RNA, 497 nt
Filed under: uncultured bacterium
Lineage: Bacteria
Description: partial 16S ribosomal RNA
Rfam family: Bacterial small subunit ribosomal RNA
Source: RNAcentral
GAUGAACGCUGGCGGCGUGCCUAAUACAUGCAAGUCGAGCGAACAGAUGAGGAGCUUGCUCCUCUGACGUUAGCGGCGGACGUGUGAGUAACACGUGGAUAACCUACCUAUAAGACUGGGAUAACUUCGGGAAACCGGAGCUAAUACCGGAUAAUAUAUUGAACCGCAUGGUUCAAUAGUGAAAGACGGUUUUGCUGUCACUUAUAGAUGGAUCCGCGCCGCAUUAGCUAGUUGGUAAGGUAACGGCUUACCAAGGCAACGAUGCGUAGCCGACCUGAGAGGGUGAUCGGCCACACUGGAACUGAGACACGGUCCAGACGACUACGGGAGGGAGCAGUAGGGAAUCUGCCGCAAUGGGCGAAAGCAUGACGGAGCAGCGCCGCGUGAGUGAUGAAGGUCUUCGGAUCGUAAAACUCUGUUAUUAGGGAAGAACAAAUGUGUAAGUAACUAUGCACGGCUUGACGGUACCUAAUCAGAAAGCCACGGCUAACUACGUG